Molecule: long non-coding RNA, 1131 nt
Organism: Drosophila biarmipes
Lineage: Eukaryota; Metazoa; Arthropoda; Insecta; Diptera; Drosophilidae
Exons: 3
Source: RefSeq, a predicted model, not a curated record
CUGCUGUCUACAAAAAAAUGUUAGUUUAGUUUAGCUUGGGACCCCCGUGAAAAUGUAUUUAGUAAAAUAUUUUUGGCUUGGUCUAUUUUUGACUUUGUGUGGAAUAAAUCAGGUGUAUUCGCGACUCGACUUUACAAACUUCAAGUGCAUAUCUCUGGACAAAGAUGCGUUCGAGUUCGAAUAUUGUUUUCUGAAAUCAAUUAAUCGAACAUCAAAAUAUGUCUCCGCCAAGCUAAAAGUGUUCAAGCUGCCCAUUAAAAGUAUGAAAGUCAGCCGGACAGACUCAUAGCUAAUGGAUCUAUGGAUGAAAUGUCUUCUUCCAGAUUAACUUUGGAAUGUACCAGCUGCAGAAUGGAUAUAAGCCCUUUUUGUAUAAUACAUCUAUUGAUUAUUGCAAGUUUGUGAAGAACCAGAGGUCAAAUCCAAUUGCCAGAUACUAUUACAACCUUAUCAAGGACAUCAGCAGCUUGAAUCACUCCUGUCCCUUUAACCAUGAUUUUAUUGUGGACAGGUUCUCCACUGAACUGGUGAACAGAGAACUCCCAAAAAUCGUGCCUUUUCCAGCUGGGAAAUAUAUGUUCGAGACGCACUGGACCGCCAAUGAAGCAUACCGCUGCAUAACCAAGCUGUAUUUGGAGCUUUUGUAAUCCGAAACAAAAUUAUAUACACAGCCCUUUGGUUUUAAAGGUUUUUAUUAAAUAGUAUAGAUAACAGCUACGAAGAAAACGGUUUUAAUGAGAGAAGUUCUUAACUGGCCCGGCAACUUUGAGAUGAAAUCGAGACAAGAGGUCAAUGUUGCUGCAGCCUCAAAUAUUAUUUGACCUAUUAUGUAUUUUCUUAUAUUCGUUUUUUAUUAUAAAUUUCUGAUUGUGGGCUGUGAGCUCGUAAAGCUAAUUAUCUUGAGUACAUACAAAAAUUAAAUGUUUCACAUUUGUAAUUGCAAUGUAAGCGAUCUGAAUUCACAGUGCUGCAGAGAAGUUGCCUAUCUGUAGAUAAUAUCUUUGGUUUCCUGGUUAUUCUUGGACACACGUACACACAUAUAAAAUUACAAUAAAAUGGUGCCAAACAUCUGAUCUAAAGUUACUUCUGGUUGACUAGUGUAAGGAGUACUGACUAAGGUCGAUAGGGGAU